Molecule: ribosomal RNA, 444 nt
Filed under: uncultured bacterium
Lineage: Bacteria
Description: partial 16S ribosomal RNA
Rfam family: Bacterial small subunit ribosomal RNA
Source: RNAcentral
CUACGGGUGGCAGCAGUGGGGAAUAUUGCGCAAUGGGCGAAAGCCUGACGCAGCAACGCCGCGUGAGGGAUGAAGGCCUUCGGGUUGUAAACCUCUUUUAUCAGGGAAGAAGCGAAAGUGACGGUACCUGAAGAAAAAGCACCGGCUAACUACGUGCCAGCAGCCGCGGUAAUACGUAGGGUGCAAGCGUUAUCCGGAAUUAUUGGGCGUAAAGAGCUCGUAGGCGGUUUGUCGCGUCUGCUGUGAAAAUCUGAGGCUCAACCUCGGACUUGCAGUGGGUACGGGCAGACUAGAGUGCGGUAGGGGAGAAGGGAAUUCCUGGUGUAGCGGUGGAAUGCGCAGAUAUCAGGAGGAACACCAAUGGCGAAGGCACUUCUCUGGGCCGCUACUGACGCUGAGGAGCGAAAGCGUGGGGAGCGAACAGGAUUAGAUACCCGUGUAGUC